Solanum lycopersicum (tomato) is the source of this 110-nucleotide non-coding RNA. Lineage: Eukaryota; Viridiplantae; Streptophyta; Magnoliopsida; Solanales; Solanaceae. The record is from Rfam.
GUGAGCCUAGUGAUAGGAGAUUAUCUAGCUUGGUUCGGAGAGCACUUGUUGGGUGAAAUAUUUUUUGGUUGCUAAAUGUUACGGCCUAAAUGCUGAACUAUUGACCCUAC